Long non-coding RNA from Megalops cyprinoides (Indo-Pacific tarpon), 564 nucleotides. RefSeq lists it as uncharacterized. The transcript has 4 exons. The record is from RefSeq and is a predicted model, not a curated record. NCBI's taxonomy places the organism in Eukaryota, Metazoa, Chordata, Actinopteri, Elopiformes, Megalopidae.
AGGUUAGUGGCUGUUCAGUGUGGACUCUGUCUGCUGUGCACAAAUGCUCUUCUGUAUCCUGGACUGCUACCAGCUGAAUAUCUGUGCUCUACACCUGAACAGCUCUUUAAGAGACUACGGGGUUUCUUUAGCAGGUCAUACAAGCUGAUCAAAGUCUCAAAACCACAGACCUCUUACAGGUGACAGGUUGAGAUGGCUGCGUAUUCCUGGGCUGCUCUGAGGAAGCGGUUCAGGUCUCUCCUGGCAGCUGAUGCCGGCGAAGAUCUGUGACAGAUGGGGCGAAGUCACAAACUUGCAGCCCGAGGCAGAAUCGGCAGAACUUUCCAGAGUGUGCCCAUAUUUACCUGAUCAGAGAGAAAAAAGUGGGGGGGGGAGAAAAUCUGCAGAGGAAGCCGGAGCCUGGCUGCCUGUCAUAGCUGACACCAAGCCAUCUGCCACAAACCUGUGGCGGCUUCAGAUCUCCCUUCCCUGCCACCACCCCGGCCCAAAUUAAAUACAGAUCCAUACAGACGUUAUGAUGGCUACACAUGUCCCCAGCCUUACAUGCAGGAGACUUUUUUUUUG